GACGAACGCUGGCGGCGUGCCUAAUACAUGCAAGUCGAACGCAGUGGGGACGGGUGAGUAACACGUGGGUAACCUCCCCUCAGAGGGGAUAACACUUGGAAACAGGUGCUAAAACCGAUACUGAUGGAUGAACCCGCGGUGCAUUAGCCAGUCGUCGAGGUAACGGCUCACCAAGGCGACGAUGCAUACCCGGCCUGAGAGGGGGACCAGCCACACUGGGACUGAGACACGGACCAGACUCCUACGGGAGGCAGCAGUAGGGAAUCUUCGGCAAUGGAGGAAAGUCUGACCGAGCAAUGCCGCGUGAGUGAAGAAGGUUUUCGGAUCGUAAAGCUCUGUUGUUAGAGAAGCGGUAUCUAACCAGAAAGCCACGGCUAACUACGUGCCAGCAGCCGCGGUAAUAC
This 404-nucleotide ribosomal RNA is filed under the name uncultured bacterium. RNAcentral's name for it is "partial 16S ribosomal RNA". It matches the Rfam family "Bacterial small subunit ribosomal RNA", at positions 28 to 526 of the family's 1533-position model. The record is from RNAcentral.